GAGUUUGAUCUUGGCUCAGAUUGAACGCUGGCGGCAUGCCUUACACAUGCAAGUCGAACGGCAGCACGGGAGCUUGCUCCUGGUGGCGAGUGGCGAACGGGUGAGUAAUGCAUCGGAACGUAUCCUGGAGUGGGGGAUAACGUAGCGAGAGUUACGCUAAUACCGCAUAUUCUGUGAGCAGGAAAGCGGGGGACCUUCGGGCCUCGCGCUCUUGGAGCGGCCGAUGUCGGAUUAGCUAGUUGGUGAGGUAAAGGCUCACCAAGGCGACGAUCCGUAGCAGGUCUGAGAGGAUGAUCUGCCACACUGGAACUGAGACACGGUCCAGACUCCUACGGAGGCAGCAGUGGGGAAUUUUGGACAAUGGGGCAACCCUGAUCCAGCCAUGCAGCGUGAGUGAAGAAGGCC
RNAcentral lists this ribosomal RNA (405 nucleotides) under bacterium enrichment culture clone ALO1_GLFRUDD03FXZIN. Its description in RNAcentral is "bacterial SSU rRNA". It matches the Rfam family "Bacterial small subunit ribosomal RNA", at positions 9 to 416 of the family's 1533-position model. The record is from RNAcentral.